Molecule: ribosomal RNA, 491 nt
Filed under: uncultured bacterium
Lineage: Bacteria
Description: partial 16S ribosomal RNA
Rfam family: Bacterial small subunit ribosomal RNA
Source: RNAcentral
AGUGAACGCUGGCGGUAGGCCUAACACAUGCAAGUCGAACGGCAGCACAGUAAGAGCUUGCUCUUACGGGUGGCGAGUGGCGGACGGGUGAGGAAUACAUCGGAAUCUACUUUUUCGUGGGGGAUAACGUAGGGAAACUUACGCUAAUACCGCAUACGACCUACGGGUGAAAGCAGGGGAUCUUCGGACCUUGCGCGAUUGAAUGAGCCGAUGUCGGAUUAGCUAGUUGGCGGGGUAAAGGCCCACCAAGGCGACGAUCCGUAGCUGGUCUGAGAGGAUGAUCCGCCACACUGGAACUAAGACACGGGCCAGACUCCUACGGGAGGCAGCAGGGGGGAAUAUUGGACAAGGGGCGCAAGCCUGAUCCAGCCAUACCGGGUGGGUGAAGAAGGCCUUCGGGUUGUAAAGCCCUUUUGUUGGGAAAGAAAAGCAGCAGGUUAAACCCCCGCUGUUCUGACGGUACCCAAAGAAUAAGCACCGGCUAACUUCGU